RNAcentral lists this long non-coding RNA (444 nucleotides) under Homo sapiens (human). RNAcentral describes it as "HSALNT0123627". Lineage: Eukaryota; Metazoa; Chordata; Mammalia; Primates; Hominidae. The record is from RNAcentral.
AGCUGGAGUGGACAGGACGGCUUUCGAGAUUUGGCGCGGCCUUUGUCUCUGGCUGCAGUCGUAGCUCCAGGUCUUUUCUUCUCUGUUCUGUGUCUUCUGCUCCUAGAGGCCCAGCUUCUGUGUCCCUGUGACCUGUAGGUUUGUGACAUAUCACUGAGCUCAGCACCUAGCUGAUGUGACCUUUUUCUUCCUAGGUUCUGCCUGCAAAGAAGAUUGUGACAUAUUGCUGGUUGCAACACCACGGUGAUGUUACUUUUUGCCUUCUGAUGUAUCGCUAAGCCCAGCACCUAGCUAAUGUAAGUUUUCUCUUCUUCUUAGGUUCUGCCUGUAGAAAAGAUUGUAACAUAAUGCUGGGCCCAACUUCAAGGUGGCAUUACUUUUUUGACUUGGCCUUGCUCUCAGAAGACAUUAUAACAUACUGCUGGGCCCAGAACCAAGGUGAUG